GUUCAGUUAUUCUCGCAUUUUUUGCUUCAAGGCGCUUUUCCGUCUUUCCGAUCCUCUGAAGAUGAUCGGUUCUCUUUGAAAUUCGAAGUUUAUAUAUUUCACUGUCUUUUAGAAUUGUAUAUCAAAUUUGUAGGUUUCUAGGUAGAUUGUGCGCGCGAGCUCUAGCUAAAAGUAGUUGAAUUUGGCAAAUUUGGUUUCAUUGGAGGAAGUGACUUUUAGUUGCAGCUCUUCGGAUCUUGCUGAUCUUUCAUCAAAAUUGCCCGUCUUAUUACGCAAUUAAUGAGUUGAUGAACAAUUCGAAAUUACAUAUAUCUGAAUUCUUAUUCUGUAGAAUUGUGUUGUAAUCUUGUUAUUAAUUGUCUAUUUAACUUCUCCUUCUGCAAUACUUCCAAUUUGAGAUCUCGAUGCAAAACAACUUGCAAAUUUUUAUUAGGCAAAUAAUAAAUGCUAUACCUUGUAAUUCUUAUCAGCUAUAUGCGUUUUUUUAUCGGGUAGUCUAGUUGUCUCUUUGUUGGUUGAAUUACCUUCCGAAUUUUGCCAUGCAGAGUUCCAUUGCUGGAGAGGAGA
RNAcentral lists this unclassified non-coding RNA (567 nucleotides) under Hevea brasiliensis (rubber tree). Lineage: Eukaryota; Viridiplantae; Streptophyta; Magnoliopsida; Malpighiales; Euphorbiaceae. The record is from RNAcentral.